This 74-nucleotide transfer RNA is filed under the name Hyalella azteca. It matches the Rfam family "tRNA". From Rfam's summary of the family: Transfer RNA (tRNA) molecules are approximately 80 nucleotides in length. Their secondary structure includes four short double-helical elements and three loops (D, anti-codon, and T loops). Lineage: Eukaryota; Metazoa; Arthropoda; Malacostraca; Amphipoda; Hyalellidae. The record is from Rfam by way of RNAcentral.
UGCCUGUUAGCUCAGUGGUAGAGCACCAGCCCCUGAACAGCUGGAGGUCGCAAGUUCGAACCUUGCACAGGCUA